RNAcentral lists this small nuclear RNA (24 nucleotides) under Arabidopsis thaliana (thale cress). RNAcentral's name for it is "snRNA_17003". Lineage: Eukaryota; Viridiplantae; Streptophyta; Magnoliopsida; Brassicales; Brassicaceae. The record is from RNAcentral.
CAUGGGCGACUCGCGAAAGCCCAG